Long non-coding RNA from Manis javanica (Malayan pangolin), 3087 nucleotides. RefSeq lists it as uncharacterized. The record is from RefSeq and is a predicted model, not a curated record. Lineage: Eukaryota; Metazoa; Chordata; Mammalia; Pholidota; Manidae.
AGGACAUGUUCUCUGCAUCCACAGAAGCUCUUUUCAAACAUUACUGAGAAGACUAAUAAGAAGAAAAAGCAUCCUCUGAUGGGUUCUCAGAAAGAAAGCAUUCCAUGUAACUACAGGGCAAUGGUGCUCUGAUUACCACAGGCCCAGCUGACAGAUAGGUUGCCAGGCAGCAUUUGCUCUGCUGAGAGGCGUGGUGGAAUGAAGCAGCCAUGUGUGGCACCCAGUGAACUCACCUGGAUGGUACCACCAGAGCUACGCCUGGCCCUGUGUUGCUGAGAACAGCCUUUUGUGCCCUCUGACUGGGAGAGGAAGGCCCAGGCAUGGUGGGUCUGUGGAUCACAGUGCCCCAGGAGCCUCACUCAGCAAUAGGCAGCUGGCUGUGUCCUUUCCCACCUCUGACAGAGGGUGAGGUUGAAGGAGUAGAGACCUGAAUAUGCUCUGGACUCAGGAAGCACGGAGCAGCAAUCUUUUCCUUUCCUAACAAGGAUCCUGGAGUGUUGGUGACUGAACAAUCUAGAAAAGGAGAGGUUGCAGAGACCCUCUACCCACACCUCCAUGGUCCAUGUGGCAAUCGGCUUCCUGCACAAACCACCACUCCCCCGGCUUCCUGCCAGCCUCCUUUUAGCAGGGGGCCAAACAUGGGCUGAACUCCUAACGCCUGGAGAAAUGCCUCUUCCCUACCAAGUCCCCAGAAGCAUUGGAUGGGGGAGCAGGGGAGUUGCUGGAAGAAUCUGCCUUUAAUACGUGUCAGGUUCCAUCCUAACCACUUUCAGUCAGCAAUGUCAGGGUAAGGUCAAUUCCAGGAUUUUCCAUUCCUUGGCCUUCUGUGACCAACAGCCCAUGUCCAUGUUGUGAUAACUUUUUCUUCACCAAGAUGACUUUUAAACCGACAACAAGAGCAACGGUUACACUUACACAAGAGAAGGUGAGGCAAUUUCAGGCAGGUUCCCGCGCUGGCUUGUCAACAGCCAUUGUCUGGGCGCCUUCUGGAGAAGGAAAGGAGCAGCAGGCCACCGUGCAAUGUGCACGACGGUGACGGGGGUGGGGCUGGUCAAAGCCCGAAAAAAAAGUGCACUGGGAUGAAGUGUGGGAAACUCUAAAAUUUCACUGAUUAACCACUGAUGAAAUAACAGAGGUCUAUUUUUCUCUCUCAGGGACCCCUUUUUCACAAUCUGAAUGUGAAAACUAAGAAACCCAAUUUGCCUACGCUUUCCACUGAGCUGACUGUGUGUGAGGUGCUGCCGUUUGAGGGUGCAGGCAGCCUGCACUCUCUUUUCCGAAGGACCUGGUGUACAGCAAGUGCCCUGCCACCUUCUCUCUCCUUGAGGAGGUUGUGAGGAGCACAACAGUGAAUUCUUUCAUUCCUGCCAUUUGUUUUAAGGAGGUAUAAGGGCGUUAGUUUUUUCGGUCUCACCUUCCUCACCUCCCGCACCAGCAGGGCUCCUCCCCGCCCCAUUAUCUUUAGGAGGCACAUUUCCAUGUCAAAGACCUCUGGGGAGAAAAAGCGGCUUUUUCUUUCACCCCCUGCCUUGUUUGUUCAGGAUUCGCCUUAACUCCGUCCUUCCCAGCCUUGCUCCACAUUAGCAAAAGCAAGGAGUAGAACCUUAUUUAGAAAUCAAAACCAUGGAAAAAAACAGCUUCUUUCUGUGAAAGAUAAGAACAGUUUAAUUGCCCUUGAAAAUAUCAACUUGGUGUAAGAAAGAUCACUAUCUCGUGUAGUAAACUAGAAAUAAGGGUCAGUCUGCAGUGAAACUGUAGGUUUCCUUAAGAAAAAUAGAAGUGCUUAGACAUCACAGCUAGGUAAAUCCACAGCAGGCUAAUUCAGAAGAAUUUCAAGGGGGGAGUGGGUACAGUUUAACUUGUUCUGCAUGUCCUGAUGUGCCCAUUUGGUAGAACUAAUGGGUAAUUCAGUUGGACCCAAAGAAGGCUCUCCAUGUUCCUACUAUGUUCCUACUCUUCUGGGUCUGGAGAACCUUGAAAUCCAUUACUGCUCCUGCCCUUUUGACAGAUUCUUGGGAAUCCAAAUCCACUUAUUUCCUGUCAGUUGCCAACAUGUAGGGCUUCACUUGGGAGUAGUUCUCUGGGGUUUUCAUCAGUGUGCUCUUUGGACCCAAGUAAGACACUUUCCUGAGGAAAGCUCCCACACUGGACGUGUACCACUAGGGACCCAGGCUCACUAGCUCUUAUCUGACACCAGAGCAGACACCCCAUUGGGCUUUGGGGAGCAGUUCACCCCUCUGGGAAUUCCCAUACUAAAAGGUAGUCUUAGAACCAGAGGAAAAGUCAAAAGUUUAUGGUUCCUGUUCUUUCUCAUGUCCCAGAACUUGCCCCGUCCCCUUCCACGCUAGACUUCACUCAUACUGAAAUACUACGAGUUCUUGAACAGGCUUAUUCUUCUCUUCCUCCAGAUAUUUCAUAAAAUAUCUCUUUUCUUUGGAAUGUUCUUCCCCCCUUUGUUCCUGGUUAACUUCCACUUAGUUAACUGUCAUACCCAGUUAACUCCUGAGUCUUUGAAAACUCUGUUAGUUGUUCUUCCUAUGUAAUGCCACAACUGUCUGGGGGAACAAAUAAAACAGUUAUGGAGAAGAAGUACAGGUUUCAGAAAGCCUAAUUACGUGUCUCUUUUAAUGUGGUACUUGGAAGUCCUAAUGACCUCUUCCUUCAUUCUUAAAAAAGUUGACCCAUGUCCUUAUGAAACUAGAACAAGAAUCUAGGCCUGAAAGCAAUGUCUGUACUAGUAGGAUUUUUAUGUGCUCCAUAUAUAAGCCAGUUGAGUAGACAUAGGAAGAGAUUCUCAAUGGAAGGGUCAACCUAACAUGUUUAUUUCCAAAGAUACCUAGGAGAUCUACAGAAGUACACAAAACCUUGGUUUUAAAGUAGUUUACAAUCUAGCAGUGGGAUAUGUCACUUACAUUUAAUUUUCUAUUGCUGUGUAACAAAGUACUCACACACAUAGCAGCUUAACACAACAACCAUUUAUUAGCUUGAGACAGGGACCGUGGAUGUAGUCAGAAUAGAGUGAGAGCCUCCGGAGUGGGCAGGGCAGGAUAUCUGUAGUCCGAGCAAUGUAACUACAUGCAAGGAAAC